RNAcentral lists this ribosomal RNA (195 nucleotides) under uncultured eukaryote. RNAcentral's name for it is "partial 18S ribosomal RNA". It matches the Rfam family "Eukaryotic small subunit ribosomal RNA", at positions 1 to 194 of the family's 1831-position model. The record is from RNAcentral.
CAUAACCUGGUUGAUCCUGCCAGUAGCCAUAUGCUUGUCUCAAAGAUUAAGCCAUGCAUGUCUAAGUAUAAGCUUUUGUACGGCGAAACUGCGAAUGGCCCAUUAAAACAGUUACAGUUUAUUUGGUGAUCGCUCACUACAUGGAUACCCGUGGUAAUUCUAGAGCCCGACUUCUCGGAAGGGUUGUGUUUAUUA